This 1729-nucleotide long non-coding RNA is filed under the name Zalophus californianus (California sea lion). RNAcentral describes it as "lncRNA (ENSZCAG00015023158.1)". The record is from RNAcentral. Lineage: Eukaryota; Metazoa; Chordata; Mammalia; Carnivora; Otariidae.
CAAUGAAUGCGCAUCCACGGCGCUUUCUUUCCUUGCAAGGCUUGUCUUAACCCCUUGGGUCCGCACGCGCCAAUUUCAGGCGACCCCGCAGGCGAUAUGGCAGCAAUUUUGCUCUCCCCUCCCUCCUCUUUUGGAAUACCGAAGGACUGCAGUGGGCAUGAAAAAGGGAUUCAACUGAUUGCCCUGACUUUGUAAUAUUUUGGGGAGAAGCUUCAAUCAUCCCAUCUCUUUCCGGUCCGUGGCCAGAUUGGUGCCGGUUCUCGCCACAGCGUACCUCGGAAACCUCCCCCGGCACACCUCCGGGCGCGCAGAAAGAAGACUCCCCAGCACACACGCCUGCCUCCUCCCCCUCUGCCGAUGUUCUGUGAUUGGGUGGAAGGUCAUCGCUUUCUCAGACCUGUGGACCCUAUCCAGAGAUGGUUCUAUCUCAGCAGCCGCUACGGGAAUGCUCAGAGAUCAGGGUGCAAAGGAUUUCUAGUACUGCCUUCUAUGACCGGUCUUCCCAAAUGGCGUUUGGGCUACUUUGGUUCCAUCUGCUUCUGGGCUCUAGGAUUUUGAAGUAGUACAGAAAUGAUUGCAGAAUUGAGACCAGGUGUUGUUCCACAGUGCCAUUUUUAUAUCAGUGGCCCCGAGAAGGCUCAUUCAGAUCCUCCGUCUGAGCCGUGAGUGAGAAUCUUGUGAAUACUUGGUGGAACGACGGAACAAGGGCAGGAAGCAAGAAGGAACCUGCUUUCUCGAGUGCCUGAGUGCAACAGUGUGCCUCGGCAUCUCUCUAGCGGGAAGCUGUGCGGUGAAAAUCAUUUCAGGCUUCUCAUGAUAAAAGCUCAAGGCCUGAGAAAUGUCUCCAAGUUGUUUAUUUUUUCAGUCCCCAACAGGGAUUUUGAAAUAAAGUUCACUGUGAUGUGCUCGAAAUGCUCUCAGCUCAUGUCCCCAGAUUCAAACUUUUCCCUCCUUGACUUGGAUCCUGAGCAUCUCCUGGAGCAGCUCACUGUGUGGGUCCCGGACGUGACUUUUCCCACGGUGGAGGCUGCCAGGCAGCCACAUCCCCUGCCCGUGGGGAUGGCUUCAGAAGGAGGUAGGCCUGUAGGUGGGGUUGGACGUGUCAGAGUGCCGGCCAUUCCUGAAAUCCUUGGGAUUCAAACGUGACACUGGCUAGGGGCACUGUAGGCGGGGUCGGUACAGGAAGGGGAGCUCACUGGACACCCGAGGACAGCUCACCUGGGGGACUAGGAGGCUGGGAGUCCGCAGAAACCUGCAAGGACCCUGGGGAGGAGGGCUCCUUGAAGGCGGGUCAAGACCUGGCAGGGGAAAUGCCCUGUGUGUGCAGAAAGGAUGGUGGCAGGAGCACUGAUUCUCUCUGGAGGCCAAGAAUCACUUGGACAGUUUGGAGGGUGAGGUGGGAGUGUGUCAAGCUGGUGGCACAGGCAGGGGCAGGGGGAGAGGCGGUCUUGGCCAGAACGUUGUUCCGUGGGGCCAUCUGUGGCCAAGUCUGCAAUGACGGGUCCUCUCUGAGACCUGGGCUGGAGGUCAGUCUGACACCCCAGCCCAGGGCUUCCCGUCCUGCUGGCCUAGAGCUGACGUGCCCCCAGGCCAGGUAGCCCUGGUCUUGGAUUCAGCAGGGACAGGGCACCAGGUGGCCUCAGCGUAGGGCUUGGGUUCCUCAGCUGCUCUGGGUCACUCUCCCUCUUGAGACGCAGUGCGCACCUGCUUCCUCUCGGCCUGUUUCCUG